GGUUCUGUAGCUCAACUGGUAGAGCACAUCAGCAAUUAUGCUGAUGCUGUUGUUGGUUCGACUCCAGCCAGAACCA
Molecule: non-coding RNA, 76 nt
Organism: Fructobacillus sp. EFB-N1
Lineage: Bacteria; Bacillati; Bacillota; Bacilli; Lactobacillales; Lactobacillaceae
Source: Rfam